GGGCUCGUAGCUCAGUUUGGUAGAGCGCUCGGCUGAUAACCGGGAGGUCGAGGGUUCAAAUCCCUCCGAGCCCA
RNAcentral lists this transfer RNA (74 nucleotides) under Candidatus Marsarchaeota G2 archaeon OSP_D. Its description in RNAcentral is "tRNA-Ile". It matches the Rfam family "tRNA". Rfam says of the family: Transfer RNA (tRNA) molecules are approximately 80 nucleotides in length. RNAcentral also lists the same sequence under 5 other names. Lineage: Archaea; Thermoproteati; Thermoproteota. The record is from RNAcentral.